GUUGUAUGGUUAAGUGACUAAGCGUACACGGUGGAUGCCUUGGCAGUCAGAGGCGAUGAAGGACGUACUAACUUGCGAUAAGCGAUGAUGAGGCAGUAAGAGCCAUUUGAGUCAUCGAUUU
This 121-nucleotide ribosomal RNA is filed under the name Ferrimonas aestuarii. Its description in RNAcentral is "Ferrimonas sp. IMCC35002 partial 23S ribosomal RNA". It matches the Rfam family "Bacterial large subunit ribosomal RNA", at positions 1 to 113 of the family's 2925-position model. The record is from RNAcentral. Lineage: Bacteria; Pseudomonadati; Pseudomonadota; Gammaproteobacteria; Alteromonadales; Ferrimonadaceae.